This 166-nucleotide ribosomal RNA is filed under the name Derris marginata. RNAcentral's name for it is "5.8S ribosomal RNA". It matches the Rfam family "5.8S ribosomal RNA". Rfam says of the family: 5.8S ribosomal RNA (5.8S rRNA) is a component of the large subunit of the eukaryotic ribosome. It is transcribed by RNA polymerase I as part of the 45S precursor that also contains 18S and 28S rRNA. Lineage: Eukaryota; Viridiplantae; Streptophyta; Magnoliopsida; Fabales; Fabaceae. The record is from RNAcentral.
CACAAAAUGACUCUCGGCAACGGAUAUCUCGGCUCUUGCAUCGAUGAAGAACGCAGCGAAAUACGAUACUUGGUGUGAAUUGCAGAAUCCCGUGAACCAUCGAGUCUUUGAACGCAAGUUGCGCCUGAAGCCAUUAGGUUGAGGGCACGCCUGCCUGGGUGUCACA